CCUACGGGGGACUGCAGUGAGGAAUAUUGGUCAAUGGACGAGAGUCUGAACCAGCCAAGUAGCGUGAAGGAUGACUGCCCUAGGGGUUGUAAAUUUCUUUUUUAAAGGAAUAAAACAAGGCAUGUGUGCCUUUUUGCAUGUACUUUAUGAAUAAGGAUAGGCUAACUCCGUGCCAGCAGCCGCGGUAAUACGGAGGAUCCGAGCGUUAUCCGGAUUGAUUGGGUUUAAAGGGAGCGUAGAUGGGUUGUUAAGUCAGUUGUGAAAGUUUGCGGCUUAACCGUAAAAGUGCAAUUGAAACUGGCAGUCUUGAGUACAGGUGAGGUAGGCGGAAUUCGUGGUGUAGCGGUGAAAUGCUUAGAUAUCACGAAGAACCCCGAUUGCGAAGGCAGCUUACUAAACUGUUACUGACAUUGAUGCUCGAAAGUGUGGGUAUCAAACAGGAUUAGAUACCCUAGUAGUC
RNAcentral lists this ribosomal RNA (460 nucleotides) under uncultured bacterium. RNAcentral's name for it is "partial 16S ribosomal RNA". It matches the Rfam family "Bacterial small subunit ribosomal RNA", at positions 338 to 795 of the family's 1533-position model. The record is from RNAcentral.